GGGUAUAGUUCAGUUGGUAGAACGACGGUCUCCAAAACCGUAUGUCGAGGGUUCAAGUCCUUCUGCCC
RNAcentral lists this transfer RNA (68 nucleotides) under human gut metagenome. It matches the Rfam family "tRNA". Rfam says of the family: Transfer RNA (tRNA) molecules are approximately 80 nucleotides in length. Their secondary structure includes four short double-helical elements and three loops (D, anti-codon, and T loops). Further hydrogen bonds mediate the characteristic L-shaped molecular structure. tRNAs have two regions of fundamental functional importance: the anti-codon, which is responsible for specific mRNA codon recognition, and the 3' end, to which the tRNAs corresponding amino acid is attached (by aminoacyl-tRNA synthetases). tRNAs cope with the degeneracy of the genetic code in two manners: having more than one tRNA (with a specific anti-codon) for a particular amino acid; and 'wobble' base-pairing, i.e. permitting non-standard base-pairing at the 3rd anti-codon position. The record is from RNAcentral. RNAcentral also lists the same sequence under 2 other names.